RNAcentral lists this unclassified non-coding RNA (345 nucleotides) under soil metagenome. Its description in RNAcentral is "partial contains 5.8S ribosomal RNA, internal transcribed spacer 2, and large subunit ribosomal RNA". The stretch from base 1 to 120 matches the Rfam family "5.8S ribosomal RNA", at positions 35 to 154 of the family's 154-position model. The record is from RNAcentral.
GAUGAAGAACGCAGUGAAAUGCGAUAAUUAAUGUGAAUUGCAGAAUUCAGUGAAUCAUCGAGUCUUUGAACGCACAUUGCGCCCCCUGGUAUUCCGGGGGGCAUGCCUGUCCGAGCGUCAUUGCUGCCCUCAAGCACGGCUUGUGUGUUGGGCUCCGCCCCCCUCCCGGGGGGCGGGCCCGAAAGGCAGCGGCGGCACCGCGUCCGGUCCUCGAGCGUAUGGGGCUUUGUCACCCGCUCUGUAGGCCCGGCCGGCGCCCGCCGGCGACCCCAAUCAAUCUUUCCAGGUUGACCUCGGAUCAGGUAGGGAUACCCGCUGAACUUAAGCAUAUCAAUAAGCGGAGGA